GACGAACGCUGGCGGCGUGCCUAACACAUGCCAGUCGAGCGGGGAUUUAAGUGGAAGUUCUUCGGAAUGGAGAUUUAAAUUCUAGCGGCGGACGGGUGAGUAACGCGUGAACAAUCUGUCCCGGACAGGGGGAUAACACUUGGAAACAGGUGCUAAUACCGCAUAAGACCACGGCCUCGCAUGGGGCUGAGGUAAAAGGAGCAAUCCGGUUCGGGGUGAGUUCGCGUCCGAUUAGCUAGUUGGUGAGGUAACGGCCCACCAAGGCGACGAUCGGUAGCCGGCCUGAGAGGGUGAACGGCCACAGUGGAACUGAGAGACGGUACAAACUCCUACGGGAGGCAGCAGUGGGGAAUAUUGGGCAAUGGGCGAAAGCCUGACCCAGCAACGCCGCGUGAGGGAAGAAGGUUUUCGGAUUGUAAACCUCUGUCCUAUGGGACGAAGGAAGUGACGGUACCAUAGGAGGAAGCCCCGGCUAACUACGUG
This 483-nucleotide ribosomal RNA is filed under the name uncultured bacterium. RNAcentral's name for it is "partial 16S ribosomal RNA". It matches the Rfam family "Bacterial small subunit ribosomal RNA", at positions 28 to 507 of the family's 1533-position model. The record is from RNAcentral.